Molecule: ribosomal RNA, 301 nt
Filed under: uncultured bacterium
Lineage: Bacteria
Description: partial 16S ribosomal RNA
Rfam family: Bacterial small subunit ribosomal RNA
Source: RNAcentral
CAGCCGCCGCGGUAAUACAUAGGUCGCAAGCGUUAUCCGGAAUUAUUGGGCGUAAAGCGUUCGUAGGCUGUUUAUUAAGUCUGGAGUCAAAUCCCAGGGCUCAACCCUGGCUCGCUUUGGAUACUGGUAAACUAGAGUUGGAUAGAGGUAAGCGGAAUUCCAUGUGAAGCGGUGAAAUGCGUAGAUAUAUGGAAGAACACCAAAGGCGAAGGCAGCUUACUGGGUCUAUACUGACGCUGAGGGACGAAAGCGUGGGGAGCAAACAGGAUUAGAUACCCCCGUAGUCCCUGUCUCUUAUACA